RNAcentral lists this ribosomal RNA (483 nucleotides) under uncultured bacterium. RNAcentral describes it as "bacterial SSU rRNA". It matches the Rfam family "Bacterial small subunit ribosomal RNA", at positions 28 to 524 of the family's 1533-position model. The record is from RNAcentral.
GACGAACGCUGGCGGCGUGCUUAACACAUGCAAGUCGAACGAUGAACCAGGGCUUGCCCUGGGGAUUAGUGGCGAACGGGUGAGUAACACGUGGGCAACCUGCCCCAGACACCGGGAUAACCUCUCGAAAGAGUGGCUAAUACCGGAUACGACCACUUUGGGCAUCCAACGGUGGUGGAAAGGAUUCUGGUCUGGGAUGGGCCCGCGGCCUAUCAGCUUGUUGGUGGGGUAAUGGCCUACCAAGGCGACGACGGGUAGCCGGCCUGAGAGGGCGACCGGCCACACUGGGACUGAGACACGGCCCAGACUCCUACGGGAGGCAGCAGUGGGGAAUAUUGCGCAAUGGGCGAAAGCCUGACGCAGCGACGCCGCGUGAGGGACGAAGGUCUUCGGAUUGUAAACCUCUUUCAGCAGGGACGAAGCGAAAGUGACUGUACCUGCAGAAGAAGCACCGGCUAACUACGUGCCAGCAGCCGCGGUAAU